This 3712-nucleotide long non-coding RNA is filed under the name Panax ginseng (ginseng). RNAcentral describes it as "long non-coding RNA (PGIN_LNC004691)". The record is from RNAcentral. Lineage: Eukaryota; Viridiplantae; Streptophyta; Magnoliopsida; Apiales; Araliaceae.
GUAAUAUUUUUUAUUUGGGCCAUUUCACCUUAACAGGAUCUUGACUUGGAUAUUCUCAUAGAAAAGUCAACACCGCAAGGAGGAAGUAUCUAUUCCGGGCCAUUUCACUUUAACAAAGAUCUUGGCUCAGAUAUUUUCAAAGAAAAGACAACACUGAAACGAGGAAGCAUAUAUUCCGGGUCAUUUUACCUUAACAAGGAUCUUGGCUUAGAUAAAGAAAAAGGCAUCACUGCAACGAGGAAGCAUUUAUUCCGGGCCAAUUCACCUUAAUAAGGAUCUUGGCUCGGAUAUUCUCAAUGAAAGGAGAACACCGCAAGGUGGAAGAAUUUAUUCCGGGCCAUUUCACCUUAACAAGGAUCUUGGCUUGGAUAUUCCGGCGAAGUAGCAUUUAUUCCAAUCAGUUGAUUCAACGAGCAAGAAGAAGUUAAAUGUAAGAGGGAGAGCUAUAGCGCCCCCAAAUCCGUGUCCCUUGAACCUCGGACCUGGUGCGUCACGAUACAUUAUCUUCAUACAUAUUCUAUAAACUAAUGCGGAAUUAUAAACAUAAAUUGUUUAUUAGACAAUGGUUUUGUAACAUUUCCUAAGGUCUACAACCUUUAUCUUAAUACAUACCUUUAAUAAUUCACAAGGUUUACAUUAUCAAUUUACGUUAGUUAUCAUAAUAGAUAAAUGUCCAUAUAAAACUAUUCUCUAUCUUUUCCUUUGCCUUUGUCCUUCUUUGAGCAUUCGGGUUAAACUGAAAUAUAUUCAUGAUAUAGCAAGGGUGAGCAACUACUUUACUCGGCAAGUUUAAAUACAAUAAAGAUAUAUAUCAUGAUUGAAAGAAAGAAUAAGCUUUCAAUUUUUCAACAAUAUAAUGAUUGUGAAAGAACAUGAAUAAAAUUUCAAUACAUAGAUGAUUGAAUUAAUAAAGCUGAGUGGUCAACGAUGACCAUGAACAAAUACUUUGGUAAUGAAGGUGAUUAGCCUUUCAUACCUGAUAAACAUAUGCAAUGUGCACUAAGUGCGAAUUAAUAAUCAUAGAUGUGGAAUAAUUAUCAAUAAUUAAAGCACUAGCAUUCUUGAAAGUUAUUAACUCGAGUUUGAGUUAGAAAACUUGCAUGUACCGUUGAUUACCGCUAAGCAAUCUACUUUAAUCUCUUAUGAAAGACAUAUCAUUAAUAAGAUUGAUCCUCCAAUUAGCAUAAUACAUUUUAUCUCACAAUACUAUUACUCAAAUAAUAAAUUAGCUAACAUUUAGCCACAUAAUCAAAAAUUGAAUAAUUUUUUUAACUCAUUAGUAAUAUUAUCAUCCCUCAAUAAUAUUACUAUCAUUUAAUCAUCAUCUUAAACUCUUGGCAAAUAUUAAUCAUUCACAAAUAUUAUUAAUCAUUUAAUAAUAUUUUAAUCAUUUACCAAUAUUAUUAACCAUUAAAUAAUAUUUUAAUUCUUAUCUGAUAUUAUUAAUUAUUUAAUAAUAGUUUAAUCAUUCACUAAUAUUAUUAAUCAAUUAAUAUUAUUUUAAUAAUCUAAUAUUAUUAAAUAUUUAAUAUUUUAAUCGCUUAUAAAGGUCUCACACAUUUUAAGAUAUAAAUAUUUUACAUCUUGAAACUUAAACCAUUUAAAUUCCAUUUUAGAAAUAUCUUUUACUUUUACUCGCAAAUUCGGAGUUUAAACAGCUAAUGCAUAGCUUUUAUAGUAAAACUUAAUAUACUAUAUUAUUUCUUUAAUUUAAAUAAUUUUUACAUCAGUUUUUUCGUUCAUGAGUCAACAAUGACUGUUGCCUCAUAUAUAAAUUUUUUAUCUCACUAGCACAUUCGCUUUAUUUUUCAUUUUACGAUUCUUUCGUUACAUAAAUCUCAGCUCAAAAAACACAUUUUGCGCACCAAAAAUUUCAAAAUAUCAUUUUUAUGAUUAAAACAAUUUUUCAAAGGUUUUACAUUCUUCGUGGCAUCACAAAAUAAUUUUAUAGGAAACUAUAGUUUUUUAUUUUACUAGAUAUGUAAUUUAUAUUUAUUACAUAUUUUUAUUGAUUUAUUUAUGCUCGAAAGAAAGUUUCUCGGCAUAAAAUAUCACUUAUAGUCAAAUCUCACCCCGUAAGACUUUAUUAGAUUUAUUGUGACUUAUUAUUUUUCCAAAACGCGAUUCGAAAUGUCGAACGUCAAAGUCGCUUGACGCGCCGACGCUCGGCGUUCGCUCGUUUACAAGUUCUGACAUGCAUAUUCGCUCAUUUUUAAUUCUCAAAGCGUAAGUCAUAUAACAGUGAAAUUUUGGGCAUGUUAUAGAUCGCAUGUUAUUGUAUUUUAGAAAAAUUUCACUGCGAAAAUGAAUCACAGAAACUCAUCCAAACAGUGCGCGAAAAGGACAUCAAACAACAGCACAACACGACGCUGCACGGCUGGGUAGGCGCUUGCAGGCGCUACCAGCAGGCACGCGCGAGCGCUGCCUGGCUGCUGCGGUUGGCCUUGCGUGCGCUUAUCCAACUAGCUACUUCGCGAUUUUCUCGCGCGUUACUCGUAACUCCGAUUAAUCUAAUUUUUGAAUAUGUUAUUCAUGGCAUACCAAAGUAGUUUUAAAAAAUAUAACCCACUAAUUUUGGACCUCAUAGGCAGCCUAAAACAGGCUCCAAAAAUGUCCUCUCAUAACAUUUUUUAAAUGUUUUCCAGCUUGACCCUCGUGUACUAAAACAGUCAUAACGUUUUUGUUUUAAAACAUUUUUAGGCGAUUCUUGAGCCUAAGUGAAGCUAACUUCCGGGACUUCAACUUCUCUUCAGAUAACAAUUCAAAAUUCCAAACCGAACAGAACAGAAAUCUGCUCUAAGUGGACAGACUGUUCUAUUUUUAGACUGCACGAUCCUCCUUCACUAAAAUGGUCAUAACUCCUUCGUUUCUCAACAUUUUUAAAUGAUUCUAGAACCCACGCCUUCGUAACUUCCUCCUCUACAACUUCCCCUACUGAUAUUUUUCUAGAUUCUAAACAUAUCAGCCCAGAAAUUCGUGCAAAGGGACUUAACCGCAUAUGUUUUCCAGUUUUGACUCAGCUACUUUAAAAUAGCAUAACUCUUUGCUCCGCAGUCGGAAUUAGUCCAUUCCGGAGUCUAUGGAAAGCUUAUUCAGUGUACUAUAACAUACAAAAAGCCCAUAAUUUUCUGGAACAUAUAACUAAUCCCGAAAUUUCCUUUUUGUGGAAGCAGUCCACUAAUUUUUCUAAGUUUUAAAAACUAUUUUGCUUCUCUCUUUCGAUCAAAUUUUUAACACCUAAAAUGGUUAGAUCUACACAUAACACAUCAUAAAAUAUGUAGAUCUAAAGUUUUUAAUUUGAAAAACUCAACUUCAUCAAACCUAAAAAUAAAAGUACGUACAUAAAGCUUGAAGUUAGGGUUUAUACCUAGAUUCAUGGCUUUCAUUCUUUUUUUCCACAGAUCAUGAAGCUAGGAGGCAUGGAAAUAUUCCUUUCUUCAUCCAUCAUGGGGCUUCCGACAUCCCUCUCUCUCUCUCUCUAUCUAUUUCUAGUUUUCUUUUGCUAACUCAUUUUCUAUCUCUUCUUGCUUGAAUAUCUAUAUAUUUUCUCUUUCUCUUUCCUAUCUUAAAGAAUUUUAGAAGAUAUGCAAGGUGGCAAAAAUUAUUUAGCAUUCUACCCGGUUCCUCUCCCUUUCUCUAUCUCUUGCAUAUCUUAGCUUCCUUGCUUUGCUAAACAAACAUUAAAUGAGCUAGGGGCUUAGGUUGACACAUA